AUUGCCCUAGUAACGGCGAGUGAAGCGGCAACAGCUCAAAUUUGAAAUCUGGCCCUCGGGUCCGAGUUGUAAUUUGUAGAGGAUGCUUUUGGUGAGGUACCUUCCGAGUUCCCUGGAACGGGACGCCAUAGAGGGUGAGAGCCCCGUCUGGUCGGAUACCAAUCCUCUGUAAAGCUCCUUCGACGAGUCGAGUAGUUUGGGAAUGCUGCUCUAAAUGGGAGGUAUAUGUCUUCUAAAGCUAAAUAUUGGCCAGAGACCGAUAGCGCACAAGUAGAGUGAUCGAAAGAUGAAAAGCACUUUGAAAAGAGGGUUAAACAGUACGUGAAAUUGUUGAAAGGGAAGCGCUUGUGACCAGACUUGGGCCCGGUUAAUCAUCCAGCGUUCUCGCUGGUGCACUUGGCCGGCCCAGGCCAGCAUCAGUUCGGUGUGGGGGAUAAAGGCGGCGGGAAUGUGGCUCCUCCGGGAGUGUUAUAGCCCACCGUGUAAUACCCUGUGCUGGACUGAGGUUCGCGCAUUCGCAAGGAUGCUGGCGUAAUGGUCAUUAGCGACCCGUCUUGAAACACGGACCAAGGAGUCGUCUUCGUAUGCGAGUGUUCGGGUGUUAAACCCCUACGCGUAAUGAAAGUGAACGCAGGUGAGAGCUUCGGCGCAUCAUCGACCGAUCCUGAUGUUCUCGGAUGGAUUUGAGUAAGAGCAUACGGGGCCGGACCCGAAAGAAGGUGAACUAUGCCUGUAUAGGGUGAAGCCAGAGGAAACUCUGGUGGAGGCUCGCAGCGGUUCUGACGUGCAAAUCGAUCGUCAAAUAUGGGCAUGGGGGCGAAAGACUAAU
This 829-nucleotide ribosomal RNA is filed under the name Fusicolla aquaeductuum. Its description in RNAcentral is "eukaryotic LSU rRNA". It matches the Rfam family "Eukaryotic large subunit ribosomal RNA", at positions 74 to 935 of the family's 3401-position model. Lineage: Eukaryota; Fungi; Ascomycota; Sordariomycetes; Hypocreales; Nectriaceae. The record is from RNAcentral.